Trifolium pratense (red clover) is the source of this 2672-nucleotide long non-coding RNA. RefSeq lists it as uncharacterized. The transcript is spliced from 7 exons. NCBI's taxonomy places the organism in Eukaryota, Viridiplantae, Streptophyta, Magnoliopsida, Fabales, Fabaceae. The record is from RefSeq and is a predicted model, not a curated record.
AUUUUUGCAACAGUGCUUGCGACCCUUGGUCAAACUGUCGCAAGAUUUUGCUUUGAAAAGUGCCAAAUCACUUGCAUAAAAAAAAAUUCACACUGUUGAUAAAUCCAUAAAACACUCUCGCCACUCUCUUCAUCGUUCGAGAAGCGUAUGAGUUCUUCAAUCUUUUCUCCCUCUCCAAUCUCUUUACCUUAAAUCCCUAAAUCACUCGAUCUCUCCAAUCCCUUUAUCAUUCCCUAAAUCCUCAUGACCCGUUGAGCAUAAAGAAGAAGCGAGAACCCUAGACGGCUGAACCCGACUGCCACCGUACCAGACCUUCUCCUCCUCACACUCCGGUGCUCCGCCGUUCUACCGGAGCUCGACUGCUCAGUUUAUCCGUCUCUGGGUUAUUUUGGGUUUGUUUUGAUGUUUUGUAUUCAUUAUUAGAGUAAACUUCAUUUUGGUUUUUAAUCUACUGUAACAAUGUUAUAUGACCCAAUGAUUCUUAUUCAUUUUGUUGUGUUUAAUCUAGAAUUUGUUUGACAUUUGUUGCUGUUUUAGUAUUCUGGGAUUGAGUAUAUUAAAAAUGGGAUCCAGGUGAUUGUUUGAGUAGAAAUGGUAACCAGCAGCUGUUACUUUCUUUUUGGGUGUUUUUUUAUCCCUGUAUCUGUUUCUUCUAGUGUCUGCUGGUUCCAACUGUGUGCAUUUUGUUAGCCUUGCAGUGCUUCUGCUAAGAGGCACAUUGUAUCUGUUGCGGCUGUUUUUUGUUUGCUUAAAAAGUCUGUGGGAAUCUGGUUUAUCUUGUUUUUCAAACGUCGUUAUUGUUAGCUUAUUUAUUUUAGUUGUUCAAGAGUUUUUAACAUGAUAAUUUGAUUAUCUAGUUUUAUUUGAAAUUUGGUAUAGGGGUUGUAAUCCCACCAGGUAAUGAGGAUCUGUGAUGUUGCGCUCUCGGCUCUUCUAAAUCGAGAAUAAGGUCUGCUAAUUAGAUAUAGAAGUAUAGAUCUUUUAGUUUUAUCUGAAACUGUAUUGGUGUGUGUGUGUGUGUAUGUGUGUUUCUAGAUUUGAUCUUUGAUUUAAAUUGUGAUUCUCUAUUCAAAAUCAAAUAUCAAAAGAGAGGUAAAAUUAAGUUGUUACCAGGGAGCAUAACAAUGUUUGAAUUGAAUAGUUUUCAGCAUGUAUAAUUUCUCUAUGUUAAGUUUGGAUAGGUACAAGAAACAAGACGGUGGCAGGUCUUGUCUUCCUCGCGGUUCCAAGGUGAAGGAUGAGAAGCCAACCAACUGGUAGUUUGCAGAAUCUGUUCAGAUGAAGGGGAAACCAAUCACACAUACGACAAAUUGCUAUGGUUAGGUAGAAUUUGUAAAUUUCCAUCUCCUUUUAACACUUACAUUAAAUAAUGCUCUAUUACAUCAUCGUUGUUGGAAUUUUUGCUCCUCGGAUUCUGAAUGGGCCGUGUUAUGUUGUGCGUGUUAUCUACGUGAUGGUAUACCAUUUGCUAGGUAUUUUUCCUCUACAAUCUGGGCGGGGCUGAAACUGUACUUUAAUAAAGUUCAGUAAAACUCACGAUGGCUCAUUCGAACGGGUGAAAGAGCUCGCUUCUGGACCGAUAAUUGGCUGGGAACUUCUCUUACCGAGAGACUGCAGCUGCCACAGCAACUCUGGCCGCGCCUAACAGCUCCGUCCGCUUCAUAUAUACAUAACGGUGCAUGGCGCAUACCAGACUGCAUUCAGGAAAUUGAUUCAUCUGUCGUGCAGCAAAUACAGCGUGUCAUUUUACCGGUUGCUGCACUUCCAGAUCGACUGAUAUGGUGUAAUUCCAAAGACGGGCAACUUUCUACUAAGCAAGCAACGCUGCAUCUGUCAACAACUGUGACAGUACCGUGGGCUGUUUGGUUAUGGAAGAAAUCAAUCCGACCUUCGAAUUCCUUUGUGUUUCUUAUCAUUUGUAUUCUAUUAUGGCUGCUGCAAUAGUAACCUCAUGCUAUCAUUACAGUCAUGAAGUUUAUGUAACUAGGAUCUCGUCCAGAUACCUUUCUACACUGCAGAAUCAGAAAGAGCAGGAAAUUGCCGCUACGCAAGGAGGUCGCUCGCACCUUCGUCGACAACGUCAAGAAGCUGAAGUGGAUAAUUAAAUUGGUGACAUGGAAGGAUAGGGAAGCUGGAGUGAAAAUGGCGACUUCACCAUAUGAGGAGUCACGGAGCAAAAUAAUAGAAGAGAAUGCUAAAAGGAUGGAAUCAUUCUUAUGAGUUUAUACAAAUGCAUUUUUAUCAUACAAAUGCAUUUUUCUUAUGGGUGUAUCAUAAUUUUGAUUUCAUCUGUUAUUAAUGUAGGAGAGGGCACGAUAAAUGUAGCAUAUCGGGGAAAGCCAAUGAUGAAUUAUUCACUUGAAACUGAGUUGAUUGCAAGGACUCAAAUUAUGUACUUUGGAUGCUGAAAUUGGUGCUCUUAUAUUCUGUUUCUGAAGUCUGAAUGCGAACCCUCUGCGAGACCACCGUGAGGCAACGCGAAAGGUGUUUGCUACCACAGCAUCACUAUCAUCAAUCAAUGGCUCCAGGUAACCUAAUAAGAAGAGUCAAGAAGAUGGUAGCACUAAUUAAGGAUUAUGAAGCAACAUCAAUAACUAGGAAAUGUUUAGAUAUUUUAAGAACUUAUUUUGCCAUAAUGUUUUGUAUAUUUAACCACUAUAGUAAUGUUUAUG